GAGACACGCUGGCGGCGUGCCUAACACAUGCAAGUCGAACGAAGCAUAGCAAUAUGCUUAGUGGCGGACGGGUGAGUAACGCGUGAACAAUCUGCCCUGUACAAAGGAAUAGCCUCGGGAAACCGGGAUUAAAACCGUAUGACACUUUAGUAUCGCAUGAUAAGAAAGUCAAAUCGAUUAGAGGUAUGGGAUGAGUUCGCGUCUGAUUAGCUGGUUGGCGGGGUAACGGCCCACCAAGGCGACGAUCAGUAGCCGGCCUGAGAGGGUGAACGGUCACACUGGAACUGAGACACGGUCCAGACUCCUACGGGAGGCAGCAGUGGGGAAUAUUGCACAAUGGAGGGAACUCUGAUGCAGCGACGCCGCGUGAGUGAAGAAGGUCUUCGGAUCGUAAAACUCUGUCCUUGGUGAAGAAAAGGACGGUAGCCAAGGAGGAAGCCCCGGCUAACUACGUG
This 455-nucleotide ribosomal RNA is filed under the name uncultured bacterium. Its description in RNAcentral is "bacterial SSU rRNA". It matches the Rfam family "Bacterial small subunit ribosomal RNA", at positions 33 to 507 of the family's 1533-position model. The record is from RNAcentral.